This 220-nucleotide ribosomal RNA is filed under the name uncultured Glomus. RNAcentral's name for it is "partial small subunit ribosomal RNA". It matches the Rfam family "Eukaryotic small subunit ribosomal RNA", at positions 591 to 817 of the family's 1831-position model. Lineage: Eukaryota; Fungi; Glomeromycota; Glomeromycetes; Glomerales; Glomeraceae. The record is from RNAcentral.
CCAAUAGCGUAUAUUAAAGUUGCUGCAGUUAAAAAGCUCGUAGUUGAAUUUCGGGACCAAUAUGUCGGUCGUGCUUUUGUACGUACUGAUAUAAUUGGUUUCUCCCUUCUGAAGAACCUUGAUGUCAUUAAUUUGGUGUCUUGGGGAAUCAGGACUGUUACUUUGAAAAAAUUAGAGUGUUUAAAGCAGGCUCGCGCUUGAAUACAUUAGCAUGGAAUAA